AGUGGGAUAACUGGGUCAAAUGGUGAUUCCAUUCCAAGUUUUCUGAGGAAUCUCCAUAUUGCUUUCCAGAUGGUUGCACCAACUUGAAGUCCCACCAGCAAU
RNAcentral lists this microRNA precursor (102 nucleotides) under Marmota monax (woodchuck). The record is from RNAcentral. Lineage: Eukaryota; Metazoa; Chordata; Mammalia; Rodentia; Sciuridae.